GACGAACGCUGGCGGCGUGCCUAAUACAUGCAAGUAGAACGCUGAAGAGAGGAGCUUGCCCUUCUUGGAUGAGUUGCGAACGGGUGAGUAACGCGUAGGUAACCUGCCUGGUAGCGGGGGAUAACUAUUGGAAACGAUAGCUAAUACCGCAUAAAAUGGAUUAUCGCAUGAUAAUCCAUUGAAAGGUGCAAAUGCAUCACUACCAGAUGGACCUGCGUUGUAUUAGCUAGUUGGUGGGGUAACGGCUCACCAAGGCGACGAUACAUAGCCGACCUGAGAGGGUGAUCGGCCACACUGGGACUGAGACACGGCCCAGACUCCUACGGGAGGCAGCAGUAGGGAAUCUUCGGCAAUGGACGGAAGUCUGACCGAGCAACGCCGCGUGAGUGAAGAAGGUUGUCGGAUCGUAAAGCUCUGUUGUAAGAGAAGAACGAGUGUGAGAGUGGAAAGUUCACACUGUGACGGUAUCUUACCAGAAAGGGACGGCUAACUACGUG
Molecule: ribosomal RNA, 497 nt
Filed under: uncultured bacterium
Lineage: Bacteria
Description: partial 16S ribosomal RNA
Rfam family: Bacterial small subunit ribosomal RNA
Source: RNAcentral